This 378-nucleotide ribosomal RNA is filed under the name Wolterstorffina parvipalmata (Cameroon Wolterstorff Toad). Its description in RNAcentral is "partial 12S ribosomal RNA". It matches the Rfam family "Bacterial small subunit ribosomal RNA", at positions 794 to 1384 of the family's 1533-position model. Lineage: Eukaryota; Metazoa; Chordata; Amphibia; Anura; Bufonidae. The record is from RNAcentral.
GCCCAACCGUAAACUUUCACUCACACCUAAAUCGCCAGGGAACUACGAGCUAAGCUUAAAACCCAAAGGACUUGACGGUACCCCACAUCCCCCUAGAGGAGCCUGUUCUGUAAUCGAUGAUCCACGUUUAACCUCACCAUUUUUAGUUAAUCAGCCUGUAUACUUCCGUCGUCAGCUUACCACGUGAGCGCCAAUUAGUGAGCCCAAUGCUACUUCACCAACACGUCAGGUCAAAGUGCAGCAAAUGAAAUGGGAAGAAAUGGGCUACACUUUCUAUAUUAGAAAAAACGAAAAACUAUCCAUGAAACCUAGUUAGAAGGCGGAUUUAGCAGUAAAAAAGAAUCAACAUGUCCUUUUUAACCCGGCACUGGGGUGUGU